GACGAACGCUGGCGGCGUGCUUAACACAUGCAAGUCGAACGGAAAGGCCCUGCUUUUGUGGGGUGCUCGAGUGGCGAACGGGUGAGUAACACGUGAGUAACCUGCCCUUGACUUUGGGAUAACUUCAGGAAACUGGGGCUAAUACCGGAUAGGAGCUCCUGCUGCAUGGUGGGGGUUGGAAAGUUUCGGCGGUUGGGGAUGGACUCGCAGCUUAUCGGCUUGUUUGUGGGGUAGUGGCUUACCAAGGCUUUGACGGGUAGCCGGCCUGAGAGGGUGACCGGCCACAUGGGGACUGAGAGACGGCGCAGACUCCUACGGGAGGCAGCAGUGGAGAAUAUGGCACAAUGGGCGGAAGCCUGAUGCAGCGGCGCCGCGUGCGGAAUGACGGCCUUCGGGGUGUAAACCGCUUUCGCCUGUGACGAAGCGUGAGUGACGGUAAUGAGUAAAGAAGCACCGGCUAACUACGUG
This 468-nucleotide ribosomal RNA is filed under the name uncultured bacterium. RNAcentral's name for it is "partial 16S ribosomal RNA". It matches the Rfam family "Bacterial small subunit ribosomal RNA", at positions 28 to 507 of the family's 1533-position model. The record is from RNAcentral.